CAGUCGAGGGGUAGUGGAGCUUGCUCCAUGAGACCGGCGCACGGGUGCGUAACGCGUAUGCAACCUACCUUGAUCUGGGGGAUAGCCCGAAGAAAUUCGGAUUAACACCGCAUAAAAUCACAGUACCGCAUGGUACAAUGAUCAAAUAUUUAUAGGAUUGAGAUGGGCAUGCGUGUCAUUAGUUAGUUGGCGGGGUAACGGCCCACCAAGACCGCGAUGACUAGGGGAUCUGAGAGGAUGGCCCCCCACACUGGUACUGAGACACGGACCAGACUCCUACGGGAGGCAGCAGUAAGGAAUAUUGGUCAAUGGAGGCAACUCUGAACCAGCCAUGCCGCGUGCAGGAAGACAGCCCUCUGGGUCGUAAACNGCUUUUAUUCGGGAAUAAACCUACUUACGUGUA
This 403-nucleotide ribosomal RNA is filed under the name uncultured soil bacterium. Its description in RNAcentral is "bacterial SSU rRNA". It matches the Rfam family "Bacterial small subunit ribosomal RNA", at positions 59 to 464 of the family's 1533-position model. The record is from RNAcentral.